CCAGACUCCUACGGGAGGCAGCAGUGAGGAAUAUUGGUCAAUGGCCGAGAGGCUGAACCAGCCAAGUCGCGUGAGGGAAGACGGUCCUAUGGAUUGUAAACCUCUUUUGUCGGGGAGCAACGAGGCCACGUGUGGCCGAAGUGAGAGUACCCGAAGAAAAAGCAUCGGCUAACUCCGUGCCAGCAGCCGCGGUAAUACGGAGGAUGCGAGCGUUAUCCGGAUUUAUUGGGUUUAAAGGGUGCGUAGGCGGAAUAUCAAGUCAGCGGUAAAAAUUCGGGGCUCAACCCCGUCGUGCCGUUGAAACUGAUGUUCUUGAGUGGGCGAGAAGUAUGCGGAAUGCGUGGUGUAGCGGUGAAAUGCAUAGAUAUCACGCAGAACUCCGAUUGCGAAGGCAGCAUGCCGGCUCCACACUGACGCUGAGGCACGAAAGCGUGGGUAUCGAACAGGAUUAGAUACCCCAGUA
This 463-nucleotide ribosomal RNA is filed under the name uncultured bacterium. Its description in RNAcentral is "bacterial SSU rRNA". It matches the Rfam family "Bacterial small subunit ribosomal RNA", at positions 331 to 792 of the family's 1533-position model. The record is from RNAcentral.